UACACUUCACAAAAUUCACAACUCUCUCUCUUCCUCCUCUUGAUUCUCGGCCGACCACCAUAGCCACACCCACACUCACUUUCGAGUUUGAUCAAGGUAUUCUACAUACAUACAAGUGUGAAGGAUCACGCACGAGGAAGCUUGGUGCUUACGGAUUGUCAAGGACCUUACCACAACGCUAUUAACCACCCGUUUUUCGUCUAGUUUCUUCCCUAGCCUCGAGCUAGUAACGCACCACUAUGAGUUCAUGGAACUAAGGAUCUGGCACGGUAUGCUACGUUUUCGCGCUGCGUUAGAGUUAAUGGGAUCAUCCUCGUUUAGGGAUUGCGACUUUUACCUGGACGAGUCGCAAGUCUUAAACGGUGUUUAAUUUAUGUUGUGGUUGUGUCUUAAGAACAAUGUUUUUAUAUUGUAGUAUUGUAAACUCGAUGCAUGUGUCUGCAUUUCAAAACAAUGUUGUGGUAUUUUGUUUUUAAGACUUUGAUUAAUGGAUGAUUCUGC
RNAcentral lists this long non-coding RNA (501 nucleotides) under Helianthus annuus (common sunflower). RNAcentral describes it as "sRNA HanXRQr2_Chr16g0770231". Lineage: Eukaryota; Viridiplantae; Streptophyta; Magnoliopsida; Asterales; Asteraceae. The record is from RNAcentral.